This is a long non-coding RNA of Gavialis gangeticus (Gharial), 1879 nucleotides long. RefSeq lists it as uncharacterized. The record is from RefSeq and is a predicted model, not a curated record. NCBI's taxonomy places the organism in Eukaryota, Metazoa, Chordata, Crocodylia, Gavialidae. The transcript is spliced from 3 exons.
UCCAUGCUUUCAGUCAUUGAUUCAGUCUUUUUUUUCUUCCCUAUUCUGUUACAUUUUAUUUUUCUCUUUUUUGUACUUGAACCAUCAUUUCUAGAGUGCAAUGGAGGAGGCAGACUGGCUGCUGGCUCACCAUUGAAAAAGAAAACACAAGCCACUUGGAAAUGAAGACCUGCACUGAUUGGUGCCAGUCAUCUUCUUGACCUGGGAGGAAAUGGUCCCAGAGACAAUUUCAAACUUUUGUAUUCUGGGGUGCUGGCAAUCAUGCUGUUCAAAGCAGCUGCACAUCAUAUUUUCAAGUUGUCGGAGCUGUGCUCCUAAUUAAAAAUCUGCUCUAUUAUGUAGAUGUCCCUAUCAUACCCUAGAUGCUUUCCCCACAGAAAUAAAGAUUCAGGACCAGGUUCUCCUCCCUUCUGCAAGCCCUAGUCUUGCUCUUCUACCAGCAACCAACUGUAAAUGCACUGAAUCUCCCCUGGGGAGGAUUCCUGUGGUGUGCAGCACCUAUUGCAACUAUAAUGCAGUGUCUAUGUCAGCUGUCUCCUAUUCCAAUCUGCAAAAGACAGCAUGAAGCCAAGCAGCGCUGGGAGAGUUGUGGCUUCCCUACUGAAGUGCCACCACUUUACCUGGCAGUAAGCCGUGGCCAGGCCAACAGACUGCACACGUGGUGGGGAAGAGACCUUUUGGGCCAAGGGAUUUGAUUGCAAAGUCCCAUCCAUGGGGUCUUUCAUGUCCCCACACAGCAGUUUCAGCUAAUUAGACUCUAUUGCAACAUUGAGGGGUUGCCAAAGGCUAAAUGGGGAAGAGACACCUCUGGAAUUUGUUGAAGAGGAGUAAAAUCUGCCCACAUCAGGGCUGCACACUGUUUGGGGUUUGAGCCCUUCUCUCCAUUUCUCAUUUGUGUCCUUCCCAUAUGGUCUCUUUCUUUUCUCUGCCCCAGAGUUUUCUGCCUCACUUCCAGAGGAAGGAUCUCCCUUUGUACUUUCACAUGUUAGGGACACUGGAGUGGAAAACCUCUCAGGCUGGCAGCACGGUUGCUGCUGAGCAGACAGGGCAUUUCCAUCCCUUUCAUCAGAAAUCCCCACACAUGCCCGCAGGGCUGAGUUAAUCCACCUGACAGGGAGGAAAGGUCUAGUGAGGAUUUGGAGUCUCAGUUGCAGGGAAUACAAAUCGUUCAAAUGUGCAUCUAUGCCACUAAGCUAUCACCUCCGGCUAUUCAUAGCAUGUAGAAGGGACUGUUAGACACAUACUUUGUCUGCCAGAGAAGCAGUCUGUGGUUUUUAGGAUUCAGCUCUUUAUUUCCUUUUAGCUCAUGUCCUUAACUGCCACUGUGCUGGGCCCAAGAUCACUGCUGAGGAUUAUACCCCAACCACGCACUCCUGCUCAGCACCCACCCCAGGCAAGCAACGCUCCCCACUGUCCAUCUUGCAGAAUAAUAGCUAUGAUAUAUCUGGAUUGUAGCAAGACCCCUGAUACCUACAGCCCUUGAGUACCUCAUGUCUCAUUGUCGUCUUCUACCCUCUUGUCUGUCUGUCUGUAUCCGUCUGUAGUAUUUUAUCUUACUGAACUCUUUGAGGUAUGGACCAUUUUUCCCUUCUGUGUUUGUACAGCAUGUAGAAAAAUGGAGUUCUAGUCCAGGAGAGGAGCUACACAGCUUCACCAUAAUACAAACAGCUAAAAAUAUUAACAGCAAUUCAAUUUUUCCUAACCCUUCUCUGGAUGAACUUUGCCUUGAAUAAACAGCAACAUCUGGAAUUCAGCAAAAUACGCUGUGAAGGGAAUAAUAUGUCGAAAGCAGUUUUGUUGAAAAGGACAAACCCAUUUAUUACUUGAACCAAACAUUACAAUUGCUAAAUGUCAGAUUAAAUAAAAAAUAUCGAAUUCA